GAGGAAUAUUGGUCAAUGGACGAGAGUCUGAACCAGCCAAGUAGCGUGAAGGAUGACUGCCCUAUGGGUUGUAAACUUCUUUUAUACGGGAAUAAAGUGAGGCACGUGUGCCUUUUUGUAUGUACCGUAUGAAUAAGGAUCGGCUAACUCCGUGCCAGCAGCCGCGGUAAUACGGAGGAUCCGAGCGUUAUCCGGAUUUAUUGGGUUUAAAGGGAGCGUAGGCGGACGCUUAAGUCAGUUGUGAAAGUUUGCGGCUCAACCGUAAAAUUGCAGUUGAUACUGGGUGUCUUGAGUGCAGUAGAGGCAGGCGGAAUUCGUGGUGUAGCGGUGAAAUGCUUAGAUAUCACGAAGAACUCCGAUUGCGAAGGCAGCUUGCUGGACUGUAACUGACGCUGAUGCUCGAAAGUGUGGGUAUCAAACAGGAUUAGAUACCCUGGUAGUCCACACAGUAAACGAUGAAUACUCGCUGUUUGCGAUAUACAGUAAGCGGCCAAGCGAAAGCGUUAAGUAUUCCACCUGGGGAGUACGCCGGCAACGGUGAAACUCAAAGGAAUUGACGGGGGCCCGCACAAGCGGAGGAACAUGUGGUUUAAUUCGAUGAUACGCGAGGAACCUUACCCGGGCUUGAAUUGCAACUGAAUGAUGUGGAGACAUGUCAGCCGCAAGGCAGUUGUGAAGGUGCUGCAUGGUUGUCGUCAGCUCGUGCCGUGAGGUGUCGGCUUAAGUGCCAUAACGAGCGCAACCCUUAUCGAUAGUUACCAUCAGGUUAUGCUGGGGACUCUGUCGAGACUGCCGUCGUAAGAUGUGAGGAAGGUGGGGAUGACGUCAAAUCAGCACGGCCCUUACGUCCGGGGCUACACACGUGUUACAAUGGGGGGUACAGAAGGCAGCUACACGGCGACGUGAUGCUAAUCCCGAAAGCCUCUCUCAGUUCGGAUUGGAGUCUGCAACCCGACUCCAUGAAGCUGGAUUCGCUAGUAAUCGCGCAUCAGCCACGGCGCGGUGAAUACGUUCCCG
This 1017-nucleotide ribosomal RNA is filed under the name uncultured organism. RNAcentral describes it as "bacterial SSU rRNA". It matches the Rfam family "Bacterial small subunit ribosomal RNA", at positions 356 to 1376 of the family's 1533-position model. The record is from RNAcentral.